Molecule: ribosomal RNA, 494 nt
Filed under: uncultured bacterium
Lineage: Bacteria
Description: partial 16S ribosomal RNA
Rfam family: Bacterial small subunit ribosomal RNA
Source: RNAcentral
GACGAACGCUGGCGGCGUGCUUAACACAUGCAAGUCGAACGGUGAAGCGCCUUCCUUUUUGGUGGGUGUGGAUGAGUGGCGAACGGGUGAGUAACACGUGAGUAACCUGCCCCCUUCUUCUGGAUAACCGCAUGAAAGUGUGGCUAAUACGGGAUAUUCUGGGUCUGUCGCAUGAUGGGUCUGGGAAAGAUAUUGUUUCGGUGGGGGAUGGGCUCGCGGCCUAUCAGCUUGUUGGUGGGGUGAUGGCCUACCAAGGCGGUGACGGGUAGCCGGCCUGAGAGGGUGGACGGUCACACUGGGACUGAGACACGGCGCAGACUCCUACGGGAGGCAGCAGUGGGGAAUAUUGCACAGUGGGCGCAAGCCUGAUGCAGCGACGCCGCGUGAGGGAUGGAGGCCUUCGGGUUGUGAACCUCUUUCGCCAGUGAAGCAGGCCUGCCUCGUUUGUGGGUGGGUUGACGGUAGCUGGAUAAGAAGCGCCGGCUAACUACGUG